This 72-nucleotide transfer RNA is filed under the name Saprospiraceae bacterium. Its description in RNAcentral is "tRNA-Arg". It matches the Rfam family "tRNA". From Rfam's summary of the family: Transfer RNA (tRNA) molecules are approximately 80 nucleotides in length. Their secondary structure includes four short double-helical elements and three loops (D, anti-codon, and T loops). Further hydrogen bonds mediate the characteristic L-shaped molecular structure. tRNAs have two regions of fundamental functional importance: the anti-codon, which is responsible for specific mRNA codon recognition, and the 3' end, to which the tRNAs corresponding amino acid is attached (by aminoacyl-tRNA synthetases). tRNAs cope with the degeneracy of the genetic code in two manners: having more than one tRNA (with a specific anti-codon) for a particular amino acid; and 'wobble' base-pairing, i.e. permitting non-standard base-pairing at the 3rd anti-codon position. Lineage: Bacteria; Pseudomonadati; Bacteroidota; Saprospiria; Saprospirales; Saprospiraceae. The record is from RNAcentral.
GGCUCCGUAGUUCAACGGAUAGAAUGGAGGUUUCCGGAACCUUUGAUAUGGGUUCGAUUCCCGUCGGGGCUA